UCCAUUGUGAACUCAUUGUUGGUUGGUUGGUGUUGGUUUACAUCUUGAAAUCAGUAAAUAAUCCUUGGGCUGAAACUUAUGAUCUUUGAGAAAUGAAUUUCAAAAACCAGAUGAGUUUUGCUGGGUGUUUCAAGAUGGCCAAACAGGAACAGCUCCAGUCUACAGCUCCCAGCGUGAUCAAUGCAGAAGAAAGAUUAUCCUCGAUACUUGGAUAA
Molecule: long non-coding RNA, 215 nt
Filed under: Homo sapiens (human)
Lineage: Eukaryota; Metazoa; Chordata; Mammalia; Primates; Hominidae
Description: HSALNT0312842
Source: RNAcentral